This 492-nucleotide ribosomal RNA is filed under the name gamma proteobacterium II-13. RNAcentral's name for it is "bacterial SSU rRNA". It matches the Rfam family "Bacterial small subunit ribosomal RNA", at positions 389 to 873 of the family's 1533-position model. Lineage: Bacteria; Pseudomonadati; Pseudomonadota; Gammaproteobacteria. The record is from RNAcentral.
CAGCCUUGCCGCGUGUGUGAAGAAGGCCUUCGGGUUGUAAAGCACUUUCAGCGAGGAAGAACGCCUAGUGGUUAAUACCCAUUAGGAAAGACAUCACUCGCAGAAGAAGCACCGGCUAACUCCGUGCCAGCAGCCGCGGUAAUACGGAGGGUGCGAGCGUUAAUCGGAAUUACUGGGCGUAAAGCGCGCGUAGGUGGCUUGAUAAGCCGGUUGUGAAAGCCCCGGGCUCAACCUGGGAACGGCAUCCGGAACUGUCAAGCUAGAGUGCAGGAGAGGAAGGUAGAAUUCCCGGUGUAGCGGUGAAAUGCGUAGAGAUCGGGAGGAAUACCAGUGGCGAAGGCGGCCUUCUGGACUGACACUGACACUGAGGUGCGAAAGCGUGGGUAGCAAACAGGAUUAGAUACCCUGGUAGUCCACGCCGUAAACGAUGUCGACCAGCCGUUGGGUGCCUAGCGCACUUUGUGGCGAAGUUAACGCGAUAAGUCGACCGCC